This 460-nucleotide ribosomal RNA is filed under the name uncultured bacterium. Its description in RNAcentral is "partial 16S ribosomal RNA". It matches the Rfam family "Bacterial small subunit ribosomal RNA", at positions 338 to 795 of the family's 1533-position model. The record is from RNAcentral.
CCUACGGGAGGCAGCAGUGAGGAAUAUUGGUCAAUGGGCGCAAGCCUGAACCAGCCAAGUCGCGUGAGGGAUGACGGUCCUAUGGAUUGUAAACCUCUUUUGUCGGGGAGCAAGGCCCGCCACGUGUGGCGGGAAGGAGAGUACCCGAAGAAAAAGCAUCGGCUAACUCCGUGCCAGCAGCCGCGGUAAUACGGAGGAUGCGAGCGUUAUCCGGAUUUAUUGGGUUUAAAGGGUGCGCAGGCGGUCUGUUAAGUCAGCGGUCAAAGCCCGGGGCUCAACCCCGGCCCGCCGUUGAAACUGGCAGUCUCGAGUUGGAGAGAAGUAUGCGGAAUGCGCGGUGUAGCGGUGAAAUGCAUAGAUAUCGCGCAGAACUCCGAUUGCGAAGGCAGCAUGCCGGCUCCACACUGACGCUGAGGCACGAAAGCGUGGGUAUCGAACAGGAUUAGAUACCCGAGUAGUC